RNAcentral lists this long non-coding RNA (1489 nucleotides) under Marmota monax (woodchuck). Lineage: Eukaryota; Metazoa; Chordata; Mammalia; Rodentia; Sciuridae. The record is from RNAcentral.
GUUGGACACAAUACCUUUAUUUUAUUCAUAUAUUUUUACGUGGUGCUGAGGAAGGAACCUAGGGUAUCGCAUGUGCCAGGCAAGCGCUCUACCGCUGAGCCACAACCCCAGCCCCUCACUUCCUGACCUUUUAAAGUGAAGUGACAUCCAGGUGUGGUGGUGCACACCUGUAAUCUCAAAGGUUCUGGAGGCUGAGGCAGGAGGAUUGUGAGUUCAAACCCAGCCUCAGCAAUUUAGGCCCUAAGCAACUCGAAAUAAAAAAUAAAAAGUUCUUUAUGUGGCUUAGUGGUUAAGUGUUCCUGGGUUCAAUCCCUGGUACCUAAAUAAAUAAAUAAAAAUAAAGUAAAGUGACUAUGCAGGUCACCAAUCUCUAAGGUCUCUUUGUUUUCACAAAACUGUGUGUAUGGGGCUGGGGCUGUAGCUUAACUGUAGCAUGUGUGAGCACUGGGUUCAAUCCUUAGCACCACAUAAAAAAACAAAGGCAUGCUGUCCAUUAACAACUACAAAAAUAAUUUAAAAAAAAAAAGAGUGUAUUUGAACACUCAUCAGCUACUGGUCAUAACACUGCAAUAAUGUGCCUUUAAUAGGAGUCCCUCUUCAGCCUAGACCACCUAGAUCUACUAACACUCAAUCUCUGGUUCCUGAGGGAACAAGGUCUCUUUGAUUGUUCUGAGUACACCCCCGGGCUGAGGAUAUAGCACAAGGCCCUGGGUUCAAUCUCUAGCAUCACAAAAAAAAAAAGAAAAAAUAGUUUCCACUGAGUACACCCACUGCCAUGUUAUCUCCAACUAAUUUUGUUACAAGUCACUUCAUCUCAUAGCCCCCUGGACUGGCCAGUCCUAGAUCAUUGGAUUCAGUGACCAGAGCCAGUCCAGCAACCCUCUUCACAGCCCCAUUCAUUCCCCUUUCUCCCCGGUGGUUUCACUUCCUCCCCCAUUCAGCCCAGACUCCAGGAUUCAUGACAUCAGUCACUCACUUGCCAGCAUCCCAGUGUCCUCACCUUCUGCCCUUCUGCCACAUCCACCUGGUAGUUCCCCAGCUUUGGAUCAGCCAGCUUCCCAACCAUCUGUCAUCUCUACUUUCAUGCCUAGGCUGCCAAGAUGGCUGCAGGAAAACAUGCUAUUGAGUGGACCAGGGCCACGGCACACAUAUCUCCUCCAGCUCUGAAAUGUCUCCUCUUUUUCUAAAACUGAAAUUCCCUUGCUUUUCCUCCUCCAUGGUUAGGUCACACUUUCUCCCUUGCUUCAAGUCCCCUGCUUCCUCUCUGCUCCCACCUUCCUCCAGCUUAGCCCUGCUAGGAGGCGGUGGUUCACAACCAGGCUUGAGUGUGGGGGGGGGGGGGUUGGAGUAAACUGCAGAACUCUCUUUGGCAAGGUUUUUUUUCUCUUUUAAAGACAGAGGGAGAGAGGGAGAGAGAGAGAAUUUUAAUAUUUAUUUCUUAGUUUUCGGUGGACACAACAUCUUUGUUUGUAUGUAGUAUUAAGGAUCG